AUUGAACGCUGGCGGCAGGCCUAACACAUGCAAGUCGAACGAGUGGCGGACGGGUGAAUAAUGUCUGGGAAACUGCCUGAUGGAGGGGGAUAACUUCUGGAAACUGUAGCUAAUACCGCAUACUAUGGUGUGUGCCCAUAUGGGAUUAGCUAGUGGGUGGGGUAAAGGCUCACCUAGGCGACGAUCCCUAGCUGGUCUGAGAGGAUGAACAGCCACACUGGAACUGAGACACGGCCCAGACUCCUACGGGAGGCAGCAGUGGGGAAUAUUGCACAAUGGGCGCAAGCCUGAUGCAGCCAUGCCGCGUGUAUGAAGAAGGCCCUCGGGUUGUAAAGUACUUUCAGCGGGGAGGCGUUACCCACAGAAGAAGCACCGGCUAACUCCGUGCCAGCAGCCGCGGUAAUAC
This 406-nucleotide ribosomal RNA is filed under the name uncultured bacterium. RNAcentral describes it as "partial 16S ribosomal RNA". It matches the Rfam family "Bacterial small subunit ribosomal RNA", at positions 30 to 526 of the family's 1533-position model. The record is from RNAcentral.